RNAcentral lists this non-coding RNA (23 nucleotides) under Cricetulus griseus (Chinese hamster). The record is from RNAcentral. Lineage: Eukaryota; Metazoa; Chordata; Mammalia; Rodentia; Cricetidae.
CAAGCUGUGGAUAGAGUUUACCG